Molecule: ribosomal RNA, 463 nt
Filed under: uncultured bacterium
Lineage: Bacteria
Description: partial 16S ribosomal RNA
Rfam family: Bacterial small subunit ribosomal RNA
Source: RNAcentral
GAUGAACGCUGACAGAAUGCUUAACACAUGCAAGUCGAUGGGGAAGUGGUGCUUGCACCCUGGCAACCAUGGCGGACGGGUGAGUAACGCGUAAGGGACUUACCUGCAGGACUGGGAUAACAGGGGGAAACUCCUGACAAGACCGGAUAAUGUCAUGGAGCUGCAUGGCUUUAUGAUGAAAGGAGACGCCUGCGGAGAGCCUUGCGUCCUAUUAGCUAGUUGGUGAGGUAAUGGCUCACCAAGGCGAAGAUAGGUAGCCGGCCUGAGAGGGUGGACGGCCACAAGGGGACUGAGAUACGGCCCUUACUCCUACGGGAGGCAGCAGUGGGGAAUAUUGGACAAUGGGGGCAACCCUGAUCCAGCAAUUCUGUGUGCACGAAGAAGGUUUUCGGAGUGUAAAGUGCUUUCAGCAGGGAAGAAGUAAGUGACGGUACCUGCAGAGGAAGCGACGGCUAAAUACGUG